This 253-nucleotide ribosomal RNA is filed under the name uncultured bacterium. RNAcentral's name for it is "partial 16S ribosomal RNA". It matches the Rfam family "Bacterial small subunit ribosomal RNA", at positions 524 to 776 of the family's 1533-position model. The record is from RNAcentral.
UACAGAGGGUGCAAGCGUUGUUCGGAAUUACUGGGCGUAAAGGGCUCGUAGGCGGCCAACUAAGUCGGAUGUGAAAUCCCCAGGCUUAACCUGGGAACUGCAUCCGAUACUGGAUGGCUUGAAUCCGGGAGAGGGAUGCGGAAUUCCAGGUGUAGCGGUGAAAUGCGUAGAUAUCUGGAGGAACACCGGUGGCGAAGGCGGCAUCCUGGACCGGCAUUGACGCUGAGGAGCGAAAGCCAGGGGAGCAAACGGG